AUGAAUGUCUAUCUUGUUCAUUCUGCUAUUAUACAUGCUAGUGCUGGAGUAAAUAGUUACAUGGCUCCAAUGUUGGUAGUUAUGAGGGAGAAAUUCAUGAAAUAUUGGUCUGACUAUAGCAUAUUUCUGUCUUGUGCUGCUGUUCUUGAUCCCCGCAUUAAGUUCAAGUUUUUAGGAUAUGCCUACUCCAAGCUAUAUGAUGGUGAUGAUGCCCUUCAGCGCAUUAAUCUUGUUAAAACUACAAUGACUUCUUUAUUUAAUGAGUAUGGUAGUGGUGUACAUGUCAAUGAAAACUUAGCAACAAGUGCAUCAUCAAGCACGUGUGGACUUGGUGCCUUUUCUGACUAUGAUCAGUACGUGGAAAGCACGAGCUCACAUGAAGAGAGAUCUGAAUUGGAAUUGUAUUUGGCUGAACCUGCGAAGAGGUUGAAUGAAAAUGUCAAUAUCUUGGAUUUCCGGAGUAAGUCUGCAGCUAGGUAUCCGCAACUAGCAAGAAUGGCACGUGAUAUCCUUGCAGUUCCUGUGUCAAGUGUUGCUUCAGAAUCCGCUUUCAGCUUGAGUAAGAAGGUUAUAACCCCGAACCGAAACUCACUUAAACCAAAGACGGUUGAGGCCCUAAUGUGUUUGCAAGAUUGGUAUCGUUGCAAACUGCAGAAAAAAGAAGAUAAUAAGAGAAAGGCAGAAGAAGUGAUUGCGCUAGAUAAUGAUGAAGAUUCAUCUUCGGAUGAAGAAUAG
Molecule: ribosomal RNA, 735 nt
Filed under: Triticum aestivum (bread wheat)
Lineage: Eukaryota; Viridiplantae; Streptophyta; Magnoliopsida; Poales; Poaceae
Description: partial small subunit ribosomal RNA
Source: RNAcentral